This 100-nucleotide transfer RNA is filed under the name Paxillus involutus ATCC 200175. It matches the Rfam family "tRNA". From Rfam's summary of the family: Transfer RNA (tRNA) molecules are approximately 80 nucleotides in length. The record is from Rfam by way of RNAcentral. Lineage: Eukaryota; Fungi; Basidiomycota; Agaricomycetes; Boletales; Paxillaceae.
GCCCGCCUAGCUCAAUUGGCCAGAGCGUCAGACUUUUACGGCGGGCAGUGCUCCCUCAAAUGUGAUCUGAAGGCUGCGAGUUCGACCCUCGCGGUGGGCU